Molecule: small nucleolar RNA, 79 nt
Organism: Vicia villosa (hairy vetch)
Lineage: Eukaryota; Viridiplantae; Streptophyta; Magnoliopsida; Fabales; Fabaceae
Product: small nucleolar RNA snoR122
Exons: 1
Source: RefSeq, a predicted model, not a curated record
GGCCAAUGAUGUACUAAUUGCACGUAUUACCAGAUAUAUAAUUUGAUGAUUAAUGCUAAUUGUCACUACCGCUGAGGCC